This is a long non-coding RNA of Cygnus olor (mute swan), 1186 nucleotides long. RefSeq lists it as uncharacterized. The transcript is spliced from 3 exons. NCBI's taxonomy places the organism in Eukaryota, Metazoa, Chordata, Aves, Anseriformes, Anatidae. The record is from RefSeq and is a predicted model, not a curated record.
UCCGCUCGCCAACCUUUGGCCGCCCUGAGCCGUCGGGAGCCCGGCGACCGUCCCGAGCGCCUGCCAGCCCCGGCCUAGCGAGAGCAGAGCCGAAUGGGCGGGGGUGGUGGCUGUCUGAAGCAGCCCAGAUCUCGGGGUGAUAGCGUUAAUUACCGUCCUGUGGUGCCAAAGUCUGCCGGGCUCCGUGCGGAACAGAACGAAAUGACAUAUUCCCUGCCCCAAGGAGUUCACAAUCUAACGUGGAUCUGACAGCACGAGGGCGUGACACAGCACCGCGGGGUUGCAGCAGCAGAAUCGUGCUGUUGAGGUACUAGAUGCCUAAAGUUUGCUUCUUCAUGCAUUUCCUUCACCUGGACAACCUGCCAUCUCCAGGGAGCAGGACCUAGGAUUCUGGAAGCUGUUUUAUGUGAUCUGGAGUAGUCAUCUUCAUCCUCUGCUUCCCUGCUGGCUCCAAGUGACUUUGUGACUCUGCUCCGUAGAGACUGAACCUGGCUAGCACAGAAAAACACAUGGAAAGAUUGUUUAAAGUAUCAUUUUAGAGCUCCCAUUUUCACUAAUUCAAAGUCUCUUUCAGUGAUAGAAAUUGACCGCUAGUAUCUUAAAUUGACUGGUGGAUAUUAAUGGUCCAUUUCCACCUCUGUUUCUAUGGAAAUGGAUGUCAGUCUGGUGAGGGGGAAAUGAUUUUAAACAUAUACUUCAUAAAAGCUGUCAUGUACCUGAUGUCCUUUUUUCCCUAAAAUCUGACUCAGAAAGGUUUCUGGUAGCAACAACAAAGCACUGCUGACUGGUUUCAGCUGUAAGUGCAGGACUGGGCACCAAACUCAUUUUUCAAACAAAUGCAAAACAAAAUACCAAGUCCAAUGGCUUCUAGAUCAUGAUUUGUCAUUGUCUUGCAUCCUGUGUAAUAAUUCACUCUGUAAAAAAGUAUGCAUAAAAUGCUGUGAAAAUAGGAUGGGAGAAGCACUACAAAAAUGAGAUAAGAUGACUUCACUCCUGCAUUAAGUAUUCUUGUAAAGAACAAGGCAGAAUGUGAAGGAAAUGUGGGGAAGAAAAAAUGGCAAAUUUUAAAUAUCUCCUAAAUGGAGCAUAGACUUUGUUGGGCACCUUGGCUCUCCAGAGAGGCUUUACAAGUAAGUAGAAGGACAUUGGCUUACAGCAAUAUUUCUUUAGUUUUUUUUUUUUUUUU